This 459-nucleotide ribosomal RNA is filed under the name uncultured bacterium. Its description in RNAcentral is "partial 16S ribosomal RNA". It matches the Rfam family "Bacterial small subunit ribosomal RNA", at positions 338 to 795 of the family's 1533-position model. The record is from RNAcentral.
CCUACGGGGUGCAGCAGUGAGGAAUAUUGGUCAAUGGGCGCGAGCCUGAACCAGCCAAGUCGCGUGAGGGAAGACGGUCCUAUGGAUUGUAAACCUCUUUUGUCGGGGAGCAAAAGACGCCACGCGUGGCGUUCCGAGAGUACCCGAAGAAAAAGCAUCGUCUAACUCCGUGCCAGCAUCCGCGGUAAUACGGAGGAUGCGAGCGUUAUCCGGAUUUAUUGGGGUUAAAGGGUACGUAGGGGGGCUGUUAAGUCAGCGGGAAAAGCCCGGGGCUAAAGCCCGGCGAGCCGUUGAAACUGGCUGUAUUGAGAUGUCGAGAGGUAGGCGGAAUGCGCAGUGUAGCGGUGAAAUGCUUAGAUAUUGCGCAGAACUCCGAUUGCGAAGGCAGCAUACCGGCGGCGAUCUGACGCUGAGGCACGAAAGCGUGGGUAUCGAACAGGAUUAGAUACCCCGGUAGUC